UACGUAGGGGGGCGAGCGUUGUCCGGAAUUAUUGGGCGUAAAGGGCGUGUAGGCGGCCGAUCAAGUCAGGUGUGAAAUUCCAGGGCUCAACCCUGGACGUGCACUUGAAACUGGUUGGCUUGAGUGCAGAAGAGGAAAGUGGAAUUCCCAGUGUAGCGGUGAAAUGCGUAGAUAUUGGGAGGAACACCAGUGGCGAAGGCGACUUUCUGGACUGUAACUGACGCUGAGGCGCGAAAGCGUGGGGAGCAAACAGG
RNAcentral lists this ribosomal RNA (254 nucleotides) under uncultured bacterium. RNAcentral's name for it is "partial 16S ribosomal RNA". It matches the Rfam family "Bacterial small subunit ribosomal RNA", at positions 524 to 776 of the family's 1533-position model. The record is from RNAcentral.